This 500-nucleotide ribosomal RNA is filed under the name uncultured soil bacterium. RNAcentral's name for it is "bacterial SSU rRNA". It matches the Rfam family "Bacterial small subunit ribosomal RNA", at positions 26 to 528 of the family's 1533-position model. The record is from RNAcentral.
AGGACGAACGCUGGCGGCGUGCUUAACACAUGCAAGUCGAGCGGUAAGGCCUUUCGGGGUACACGAGCGGCGAACGGGUGAGUAACACGUGGGUGAUCUGCCCUGCACUCUGGGAUAAGCCUGGGAAACUGGGUCUAAUACCGGAUAUGACCUGCUCUCGCAUGGGGGGUGGGUGGAAAGAUUUAUCGGUGCAGGAUGGGCCCGCGGCCUAUCAGCUUGUUGGUGGGUAAUGGCCUACCAAGGCGACGACGGGUAGCCGACCUGAGAGGGUGACCGGCCACGACGUGGGACUGAGACAUGGCCCAGACCUCCGUACGGGAGGCAGCAGUGGGAAUAUUGCACAAGUGGGCGAAAGCCUGAUGCAGCGACGCCGCGUGAGGAUGAAGGCCUUGGGUUAGUAAACCUCUUUCGAGCGAGGACGAAGCGACAAGUGACGGUACCUGACAAGAAGAAGCACCGGACUAACGUACGUCGACCAGACACGGCCGACGGUAACUCGU